This 238-nucleotide ribosomal RNA is filed under the name uncultured bacterium. RNAcentral describes it as "partial 16S ribosomal RNA". It matches the Rfam family "Bacterial small subunit ribosomal RNA", at positions 98 to 334 of the family's 1533-position model. The record is from RNAcentral.
CCGCACGGGUGAGUAAUACGUAUCCAACCUGCCGUCUACUCUUGGCCAGCCUUCUGAAAGGAAGAUUAAUCCAGGAUGGCAUCAUGAGUUCACAUGUCCGCAUGAUUAAAGGUAUUUUCCGGUAGACGAUGGGGAUGCGUUCCAUUAGAUAGUAGGCGGGGUAACGGCCCACCUAGUCAACGAUGGAUAGGGGUUCUGAGAGGAAGGCCCCCCACAUUGGAACUGAGACACGGUCCAA